AUACGGAGGGUGCGAGCGUUAAUCGGAAUUACUGGGCGUAAAGCGUACGUAGGCGGUUUGCUAAGUCAGAUGUGAAAGCCCCGGGCUUAACCUGGGAACUGCAUUUGAUACUGGCAGACUAGAGUAUGCUAGAGGGGGGUAGAAUUCCUGGUGUAGCGGUGAAAUGCGUAGAUAUCAGGAGGAAUACCAGUGGCGAAGGCGGCCCCCUGGAUCAAUACUGACGCUGAGGUACGAAAGCGUGGGGAGCGAACAGAAUUAGAAACCCUAGUAGUCC
This 274-nucleotide ribosomal RNA is filed under the name uncultured bacterium. RNAcentral's name for it is "partial 16S ribosomal RNA". It matches the Rfam family "Bacterial small subunit ribosomal RNA", at positions 523 to 796 of the family's 1533-position model. The record is from RNAcentral.